This 1506-nucleotide long non-coding RNA is filed under the name Pogona vitticeps (central bearded dragon). RNAcentral describes it as "lncRNA (ENSPVIG00000002465.1)". The record is from RNAcentral. Lineage: Eukaryota; Metazoa; Chordata; Lepidosauria; Squamata; Agamidae.
CAAGAAGUUGAUUUCAACCCAUAACAGUUCACACUGAAACAGAUUUUUAAAAGACUUUAAAGUACCUCAAUAUUUUUUCUAUUUACCUUCUUUAAUUUUGUCAACAUCUUAACAUCUCUGACUUCAAUCACAUAUGGGUAAUUAAACUCUAGGUCACCUGAGCACUACAGACCUCGUUGGUUCAAAGAGUUUCACUGGAAUUUGCAAGAGGCUCGGUUCACAAUGAACUUGCUAGGAAAGUACAAGAUGAAAUAUUAACUCCUAACUAAUUCUAAGUCAGCCAUUGCACAGGCUUGUUUAAGGAAGCAGAAGUUUGACCUGUAUGAACAAGAGGACCAAUUUUGUAAAAGAACGUGGGGACAGAAAGAUAUUAUAACGUGUGUUUGAAAUGGUUUCAACACACAUUCACUUCGCAGGAAGAAUUUCUUUUUUCAGACCAAAAAGUUACUUCUAUCAUAGGUAGAAUGCUAGUCUUCACCCAGAAACUGCCAGGGUCCCAAUUCCCACCUAGGUACUAGGUACAUAUCCUUUCUGCUGGCCAUUGCCUCCUUUUAAAAUCGCUUGACAGUGGGCAGCAGCUUCUUGGUGCUGAAGCAGGAAUCAAGCAAGAGCCAUGUAAGUACUCACAAAUAUAUUACUUCAUAGCUAAUGCCUUUUGUGCUCUUCUAGAGUCCACUUCUAUUCAAAUUAGAAACAGUCUUGCAUAAGAUCCUGCCAUUAACUGCCUUUGCUGCAACUCACUAAUACUGUACAGCUGCUGGACAAGAAAAGGCACUUGACACAUGCCCUGAGGCAUGUUUUCUUAAUUUUCAGGAAUUGGCUUUUUUUGGGGGGGGGGACAGGGGUGGAGAUAAUAUGGCCAAAAGCGGAAAGAGAAAUUUAAAAAAACGUUUCUUAUAGAAAGGCGACGGGAAGGCACAGGUAGUUUGCGCCAUACACACACGCAAGGAAGGCCAUGACCCUCUCCGACGGGAAAGGCCAUGGCUAAUAACAGAGAAGAUCUACCGAUCGUUUUCCUUGUCAAUUCUGAUUUCUCCGAGAUUUCACCGAGGUGCGUUGAGACGAUGGGAGAAUAAGCCUUUGCCAUCUCGUUAGUAGACAGCAGACAUCGGUUAUGUGUAUACUGUAUUUACAUACAGUAUAGACACGAGUAUGUAACCCUGUGUUUGUGAGCAAAUGGUCUCCUCUGCAGCACAAUACGCCUCUCUACGGGCGAGUAGAUUUUGAGCAUACUGUAUUUUAAUUUGUACAGAAUUUCCCUCACCUGCUCUGCUCGCCAUUAACAGAACUACACAAUCGCACCCAAAAUCGAGGAACUGAUACUCCAUAAAUAGCUUGUUUCCAGUCGUGCACUAUCGUGAUAAAAAAAAAAAAAACAUGAUGAGAAAGCGUUUGUAUACUGGAGAACUGCCUGCCAUUCUGGGUGUUAAACCAGGACUUCAUGUGAGCCCGUGGUGAAAUUAACAUGAGGAAGAGCUAGUGGUGCAUUUUGCAGCAGUCAGGCAA